This 783-nucleotide unclassified non-coding RNA is filed under the name Zea mays. RNAcentral describes it as "misc RNA Zm00001eb184030". Lineage: Eukaryota; Viridiplantae; Streptophyta; Magnoliopsida; Poales; Poaceae. The record is from RNAcentral.
UGGACAAGAAACCACAAGUGUCUUCAAUCUAUCUUCUGAUGCUCAAUCUGUCCCAGUCAAUACUAAUGAACCCACUGAAGCUCAAUUUGUCCCAUCUAAUCAAGAAUCAAGCCAGAGAGAAGGUGGCAGUGGGAGAAAGCGUAAGCAAAGCCAUGUUGGAUUAGCUCUUGAAAAUUAUGUGGAGUUUAAAAAGAUCCAAAAUACAGAAACACUUGAAACUCUUAAAGAACAUAAGAGGCAAGAGGAUCAAUUUUCUAUUAGCAAGUGUCAGGCUGAAUUGAAAGGAAUGGAUGGAUUAACAGCCGAGGACAAAUCAUACGCUUUGGUGCUUUUUGAAUAUGCGAUAAAUAGAGAGGUUUUCUUAACAACAACGGAGCAUGAUGUUAGAGAAAUUUGGCUCAAGCGCAAAAUUAGGUUGCUUAGAAGCAGUGUGCAGUGAUGCGAGACAUGGAUGCGAGGUAUGGAUAGUGCAAAGUGGAAGCAACACAUGAAGUCGACAUGGAGAAGGAAAAUGCAAUGACAGUCCACAUGAAACUUGUGAAAAAAGAAUUAAAUCCCAAAGUUCCUAAUGAAGAGACUUGUAUUACAGUUUUAUGUUAUAUUGUCUAUCUAUUUGUGUGAAUGGAGAUGACCUUGAUGGAUGGAUUAGCUUCGCUAAUGCUUUAGUUUGCUGCUGCUGCUUAAGUUUGCUACUGAUGAUGCUUCUACUGUAAUUUACUACUUUAUUUUGCUCGACAAACUAUUGUGAUGAUGGAUAAAGUGUGAUGUGAUGAUGGAUGAACC